Molecule: small nucleolar RNA, 138 nt
Organism: Nycticebus coucang (slow loris)
Lineage: Eukaryota; Metazoa; Chordata; Mammalia; Primates; Lorisidae
Product: small nucleolar RNA SNORA64/SNORA10 family
Exons: 1
Source: RefSeq, a predicted model, not a curated record
ACUCUGUCAAUUCUGCACAAUCUUUGUAGAAGUUGGCUUCAUCUGUGUGACUUUCAUAAUGGGGGGAGAGAGAAAAGAUCUCCUGGGGGAGGCAUUAGACUGGCCUAUGGUGUCCUCUCCUUGAGGGGCACAACAGGU